AGAAGAUUAUUCGGUAACACUUUACUUGGAUGGUCCAUUUGAUGGCCUCUUUGAUGCUCAACUGACAUUCAACUAACAUUCAACUACAUGUCUAUUAAAUGCAAAUGAACUAAAAGGUGAAAGUAAAUGAUUCUCUAUUGAAUAUAACCCUACAUUCAACUCCAACCCAAAAGCUUAUCUUAAUAUUUUAGGAUUGGUUUAGGGUUAGAUUUUAAGAUUAGAUUAAGGUUAGGGUUAGGGUUAGGUGUAGAGUUAGAUUUUACAGUUGAUUUAGGGUUAGGGUUAGGUGUAGAGUUAGAUUUUAGGGUUGAUUAAGUGUUAAGGUUAGGGUUAGGUGUAGGGUUAGAUUAUAUGGUUGAUUAAGGGUUAAGGUUAGGGUAAGGUGUAGGGUUAGAUUUUAGGGUUGAUUAAGGUUAAGGUUAGGGUUAGGUGUAGGGUUCAAUUUUAUGGUUGAUUAAGGGUUAAGGUUAGGGUUAGGUGUAGGGUUAGAUUUUAGGGUUGAUUAAGGGUUAAGGUUAGGGUUAGGUGUAGGGUUAGAUUUUAGGGUUGAUUAAGGGUUAAGGUUAGGGUUAGGUGUAGGGUUAGAUUAUAUGGUUGAUUAAGGGUUAAGGUUAGGGUUAGGUGUAGGGUUAGAUUUUAGGGUUGAUUAAGGUUAAGGUUAGGGUUAGGUGUAGGGUUAGAUUAUAUGGUUGAUUAAGGGUUAAGGUUAGGGUUAGGUGUAGGGUUAGAUUAUAUGGUUGAUUAAGGGUUAAGGUUAGGUGUAGGGUUAGAUUAUAUGGUUGAUUAAGGGUUAAGGUUAGGGUUAGGUGUAGGGUUAGAUUUUAGGGUUGAUUAAGGUUAAGGUUAGGGUUAGGUGUAGGGUUAGAUUUUAGGGUUGAUUAAGGGUUAAGGUUAGGG
Long non-coding RNA from Astyanax mexicanus (Mexican tetra), 897 nucleotides. RefSeq lists it as uncharacterized. The record is from RefSeq and is a predicted model, not a curated record. The transcript is spliced from 4 exons. NCBI's taxonomy places the organism in Eukaryota, Metazoa, Chordata, Actinopteri, Characiformes, Acestrorhamphidae.